This is a long non-coding RNA of Schistocerca gregaria, 15743 nucleotides long. RefSeq lists it as uncharacterized. The transcript is spliced from 2 exons. Lineage: Eukaryota; Metazoa; Arthropoda; Insecta; Orthoptera; Acrididae. The record is from RefSeq and is a predicted model, not a curated record.
UAACCUCAACUUCACCUCACUCAGGUUUUUAACUCUACUUCAAACCAUACACCAUCCCUUACUCCAUUCUUUCGAAAACCAGAACAUCACUACUUCAUUGCCUUCAUCAUUACUAAUUACCACAAUACUCCAAUUUCAUAAACCUACACAUCACGCACAUACCAGCUACUUCGUACACACUCUCUCACACGUUACAUGUCUCCACUAUAUCAUUUCCUCUCGUAUUCUAACUAUUAAUGGACUGUACUUCCUACACUUUUCUACCUCCAUAACACAUCUCAAAGGAUAAAUUCUUUUACGCUAACCCACAACAAACAAAACUUCCACACACAAUAUAAACCUUCUUUACAAUCUUAUCAAUAACCAAGGGUCGUUCAAGGGUCCCUUUAUUUACUACACUUCACUGUAUUUCACUUCACAAUAGCUAACAACCUCUCCACAAUUGGACUCUUUAUAACUUCCACAAAUUUUAAUACUAACACAUCACACCAGAAAGCCACUCACCAUUACCAACAUCAAGUAUCACCUUCAUCAUCUACAUUUUCAAUAUUUCCUGUUCUCAACAUCAGCACAACUCAUUUGCCAAAUACGGGUACCAAUAAAACUUCUGAUCCUGUCACACAUAAAUACUUCCUCACUAUCAUUAUUCUCCACCACACCUAACUGAAAUAAUUAAUUCUAUGACUUGGGAAAGGGCCACGUCCUCACACACACACACCUCCAUCCUACAUUUCACCUCAUAUCAGGUAUCUCCAUCAUUUCGACACACAUCGUAAAUUAACAUAAUUCCUAUAAUGUUGGAUUUACGUGGGAGCUUCUCGUUCCAAACAACAAUCAGCAUCUGUACCUCAAUGGGAAGGGCCAUCAAUUACACUUUCUGUACACCUUACAUGUACUCCAACUUCCAAUACACCAACAGACUUUCCUUUUCUCUCUGCAUCUGCAAUAGGGUCUUCGAACACCUUCUACUCUCUUCCUAAUUUAAACAGUCACGGGUCUUACACUCAUCACCUGGCUUAUACAAAACUCCAAAAUCUCAAUAAUCCAACUCUCACGAUCAAAUUCCAUAACAGCUCUCAAACAUUACUAACUUGCUAGUCAUUGUUUCUUACGUCUAUACACUCCAACCACACCUAUGUUCAUUCACCUCUAAGAACUCUUGGGACUCAUUCUCACUUUACUUCAACCUAUGCCUUCCUCCAAUCUCUCUUUUAAACAUUUUACCCACAUUGCCUUUAUCAACACAGCAUCACUCACUCUACCCUUGGAUAUACUACCUUCAGUCAGACUUCCCUCUUUUCACAGGGCACUUACGAUUAACUCGCAAACAAUUAUUAUAAAUCAUCCACAUUUCUGCUCAACUCAGGUCUCCUUCUACUGUGCUAUACAUAGUGUGUCAACUGCACAAAUACCUACAUUUACUCUCUUAUCUCCAACAUGCUACCAGCUCACACAAAGGGACAUCUAUGGAUUUAGAAUUGCUUGGGCAAUGGAGGUCUCCAUCUUACACACUUUAAACUCAAUUUCCUGCAAUAUACUGUUUUGACGUGGUUUUCAACUCAUGCACAUCAUCUACAUUUCAGACACUUUGAGAACAAACCUAUAAACCCUUAUUGACCAUCAUAAUUCUUAGGGGAUCUAUCUACAUGGGGAACAAAUAAUAUUUUCAUAACAAUCAAACAAACAUCAAUUGUUUCUCCUUUUUUUUCUAUACUCCCUCUAAAUUCUCUCAUCCUCGCUACCUGAACCAAAGUGAAUUAUUACCAAUUGCAAAGGAUAUUUUACUCUCUGGGACAAAGAUAUUCACCUCUAUGACCAAUUAUUUUGUGAAGUCACACACACACACACACACACACACAUGAACAUACCAACUAGUUCGUCCACAUUCUCUCACACGUAUUACAUGUCACCACUAUAUAAUUUUUUCUCAUACUCUAAAUAUUAGGGGACUGUACUUCCUAAACUAUUCUGCCUCCAUCUCAAAGGGUAAAUUGCCUUACGCUUAGCCAUAACAAACAAAAUAAGCAGACACAAUAUAAACCUUUCUUACAAUGUUUUCAAUAAGCAAGGGCCACGUAAGUGUUCCUUUAUUUACUAGUCUUCACUUCACAAUAGGUAAUAACCUCUGUACAAAUGGACCGUUUAUUAUGUCUAUCAAUUUUAAUACUAACACAAUCCCAUUCCAGAUAGCCACUUUCAUUACCAACAUCAAGCUUCACAUCUUCAUCACCUAUAGUCUCAAUAUUACAUUUCCAACAUCAGUAGAACUCAUAUUUCUAAUAGGGAUGGCAAUAAAAUUACCUAUCCCGUCACAUAUAUAUAGUUCCUUAGAAUCAAUAUUCUUCACUAUACUAAACUGAAAUAAGUGGUUCUAUGGCUCGGGCAAGGUUUUACGUCCUCACACACGCACACUCCAUCUUAAAUUUCACCUCACUUCAGGUAUCUACAUCAUUUCGACAAACAUCGUAAAUUAACAUAAUUUCUAUAAUGUUUGAUUUACGUGGGGGCAUCUCAUUCCAUACAACAACGAGCAUCAAUACCUCAAUGGAAUGGGCCACCAAUUACACUUUCUGUACGCCUUACAUAUACUACAACUUCCACCACAACAACGUACUUCCCUUUUCUCACUGUAUCUGUGAGCUCAUCUUUAAACGCCAUGUAAAUUUUACUCUCAUCAUUUGAUUCAUACAAUGCUCCUAAAAUUCAAUAAUCUAACUCUCAAAAUCAAAUUUUGCAACAGGGCUCUAACAUUUACUACUGACUAGUUGGUUUUUCUUACAUGUAUAGACUAAAUAAACUCCAACCACUCCUAAAUUCAUUCACUUCUUAAUACUCUUGGGACUCAUUCUGACAUCAUUUAAACCUAAGCUUACUAACCAAUCUCUUCUUUAAACAAACAUUGUACUCACAUUGCCUUAUCAACACAUCAUCACUCACUUUACUCUGGGAUAUACUUUCUUUCUUUCCUCAGGUCUCUGUAUCACUCACAGAAUUUUAUUAUAGCAUUAUCCAUUACAGCAUUAUACAUAUCUCUGGUCAACUCAGGUCUCGUUCUACCCUGCAAUAUACACCAUGUCAAUUGGGUCAAUAUCACAUCCAUGGUUUACAUGCUAAUCUCCACCUCUCUCAGCUACUCAAACAAGGGAUGUCUAAGAAUUUUUAGUUACAUGGCACUUGGCAUCCCCACCUCAUCCACUUUAACCUCCAUUCUCAGAAAUUACUCUCCUUUCGGUAUUUCAAUUCAUACACAUCAGCUACAUUUCAAACAUAUUAAGAACAAACCUAUACACCCACAUCAGCCAUUGCUGUUUGGAAAUCAUUCUACACGCAGCACAUAUAAUAUGGUCUUAAACAAACAUCGAAUUUUUCUCUAUUUCCUUCCUAUAUGCAUUUUAAAUUCCGUUACCCUGUUUUCCUCAACAAAAGUGUAAAAACAAAACAGGGUAUUCAUAGUUCUCUCUAGCAACUGCAAAGGCUACUUUUCUCUCAAAGACAAUACAUAUUUACCUAUAUGGCCAAUCAUGCACUUUACCACACUCACUUCUCUAGCUUUACUUGAAUCUAUACACCAUCUCAACCUUCAUCAGUAAAAUUUCUACUUUAUUAGUUCCAUCAUCCCUAAUUACCACAUUUCUCUCAUUUCUUCAACCUCCAUAUCAUGCGCUUAUGAACUAACUUGUCCAUAACCUCUCACAUGAGUCGCCAUUCUCCAGUGGGUCACUUCUUGUUUAACUAAUGAUAGAGGACUAUACCAACAAAACCUUCCUACAUCCAUUUCACACCUCUAAGAGCAAACUGUCUUUCACAAAGCCAUACCAAAACAAAUCAUCAGACCCAUAUAAGACAUGUAUUGGAAUGGUGCAAUCUAUUACUAUACCAAUUACCAUGCAAAGAUCUCAUUACAUGCAAUUCUACACCACACUUUAUUAAAGUAACUACCUAUGGUCAAUUUUUCUAUUGCAAAACUAGAACCAUUCUCUGUAAGGGCCAUAAUAUCAUGUCUCACUUUCCAUUGUUUGUUACACAUAUGGUCUUUAUGCACUCCAAAAUUUCCUAAAUUGGUUCAUUUAGACUACUCUUUCUCACUAGACCUUCCAAAUUGUCUCAUUCUCUUUUCUCAGCACAAUAUUUUAAUGGGCUUCCAUUCAUUAAUCUGUAUAUAGGCUUAAAUGGGUAGUUUUCAUUCAGACACAUUACUCUGUCAUCUCUAUUAACAAUCAUCCUUCCGUUUCAUUCACUACUAAAUCAGGCUUUCAAUUUACCUGUGCUAAAGGUACAACACAUACAGGGGAAAUUAUUUCACAGUGUACUCACCUGAAAAAUCAACUGGCAAAUAUCUCUCUCUCACUUCAUCACUGUUGUUCAUUACCACAUCCCAUUACCUAUUUUUCUAAAUUUUCUCUGCUUUAUCAUAGACCUUUGCACCAUUCUUCACAUCCAAACUAAGUCACCUAUUCAAAUUAAUCAGUUUUACUUGGCCACCUCUAACUUCACUUGGAAUUAUCUCAUGCUCCACGAGAUCUACUUAGCACAUUACUGGACUUUCCUCAGGAUUCAUGCAAUCUACUAAUCCAUCAGUUUUUUUUUCCUAUCUCAUAACAAUACAUAUAUCUAAUAACUUACUUCAUUAAUUCCAUGAUCUGAGCAAGUGAUUUACACACUCAGAUAAAUCCACCUCCAAUUUAAAACCGACCACACACAAGGUAUCUCUGUCAUUUGGACACAUACUUUAAAGCAACAUAAUUAAAUUGGAUCAAGUCUCAUUCUCCACACCACUUCGAAAAUUCUAAUUGUUACGGGGUCGAUGUACAAUACUGUUCUUCAUCCACUUUACAUACCAAAGAAAGGGUGUAUUGUUUUUCACAAAAUCACCUUAUAUUGCCUCAUCUGGCACCAUACCUUCAUUCGCACCAUACCUUCAUUCCCAAACAACAACACAUCACCUUAUAUUGCCUUAUCUGGCACCAUGCCUUCAUUCCCAAACAACAACACAUUUUACUACACUGUGGGUCACUGAAAGAUGUCAUUUCCUUCAACUCAUUUCCUGCAUUUCGAAUACCACAUUUUGCUAUACAAUUGGAUUUCCUAUAACUACCUAUAUUUCCAGUACCAAUCACAAUCUGAACAAUUCCUUUGUAUGUCAAUAAUAAUUUUAAACUUUUUAAUUCGUAACUUAGGAAUGUAAGGAUAUUCUAAAAACCAGCUGAUACUUUUCCGAGUACAACAGAACACUCACAUUUCACUUGGUGAAGCACUUCAACUGUAUUCUUAUAAAUUAGAUAGCAAUGGAGAAACAAAUUCCACAAUUCAUUUAUCCUAAUACAGAUCACCUAAUUUCAGAGAAAGUGCCUUAUGUACAAACUACUUAGUAAUAACUGACAUACAGUGUCCAAAAGCUGUUUCUACAAUUUCCAUGUAAAAACAAGUUAAAAUCAUUUUACUAUAAAUUACCAAAUGGAAACCAACUGCAAAAUUUCUCGUUACUGCAGAGUUCAUAAUUUCACCUAAUAAUGCAGUCAGCAUAGGGAAUCAGACUGAGUCAUAUAUACUCUUUCAUCAAUUUGAUGACUUAACUCGCCUAUACUCACUGCUAGCAGCACCAUAUGAUUUGUAUGUCUGUUCUGAAGUCACCUGAGUUAUUUAGGUAAUUUUAAGAUCUCAAUAUACAUCCUGAAAUAAAUGUACACAGUACUAUCAUAUUUGCUAAUAGAUUGUUUUAAAUUAUAACAGACUAAAUAAGUUAACUUGUUCUAUGCUACAAGUACACAGGCUGUACACUGCAUUGUCAUAUGGGACCAAAUUAAAAAUGAAAACGAUCUAUCGCAACUCUAACAAUAUUCUCAACUACACUAGUUUAUAUGGUAUAGAGUGAUGCAAGUAAGUGCAUCAGUAUACGGAGCGUUUUUGCUGCUUUUGGUCCAAUCAGCUUUAAAACUGGGCAGAUCUCGCCAACAUUUACAAUCCGCAACAUUAAAAUUCAAUUAGCAGGCUCCAAAGGGCUUCUGAUCAUCCAAUCAAGUGAAUUUGCUUUGUGCAACAUUACAAAAACAAAAUAUAAAUUCCCCAUUUAUAUAGAUUAAGAAGAGGGGAAUGGGUAUGUUUAAUGUUAUUACUAAUACAAAUUGAAGAAUUAUUUCCUCUUCAGAUUUUCAGCUAUAGGGUGGCAAAUUUGAGAGUGACUGCUAUUUAGACUCAUGGUUGAGCAGGCCAAAAUGAUGUCUUUUCACUACAAAGAUGAGCACUAACGUUUAUUAAUACAUUUUUGGACCCAGUCUACAGCUUCCGCAGAUUAUUAAUGCAUUAUGAGAAUCUUAAAACUGCCUACAGGUGAAGAAAAAAAUACACACACAGCUGUAUUUGGAGAAAUAAAACUCGAUCAAAACUGUUGUGCCACUCUUCACAGAGUUUAGUUACUCGUUUAUCAUUGAAAGAAGAGGGAUAUUUGCAUUAUUGAUUGUCAUAUUUUUGGGGCUGAAAGGUUCUGACGACUCCAGUGCAUUAAUGCCAAGCACUACAACUAAUAUUUAUAAAACACACAUCUGGUGUCAUCCGAAAUGAAGAAAAUAAUCCGAUGGUAGAUCAUAAUGUACUCGUGUACUGCAAGGGAGCUUAGAGCAAAGUGAAUCAUUGCCAGCCGGUACUGAGCACAUGGUGUUUUUCUAUAAGCUUGUGCUCCAAGCAUUACUUGUGAAUACUGCCUCAUAUAACUUACGACUAGCUUCUCAUUCAAAUUAUUUUACAAACUUAAGCAUUAGUGAAAUUUUUUUUUUCAUCUGUAAAAUGGAAUUAUGAAAUUUCUCACAAUUAAAAAAAAAAUAAAAAAAAUAAAGCAUGGCAACCAGAAUUCAGUCUAGUGGUUAGCCCUGUGCUGUAAAAGUAGGAACUCAUAGGAUAUGAAACUGACAAGAAAGCUGUCAAAGUGGAGGCAAUCACAAAGAUUUCCCAUAAGGCUGGGGGCCACAGCUUUGCCCUCCCCAGGCCUCCCUCUCCAACACCCAACAAUCCACUGAGAAUUAAAACCAUUUAGGGAAUCGCAUAUGAAAGGUUACAAAUACCAUGGUAUUAAUACAAACAUGUUCAUCCACCUGAAUCCAUGCAAAAAAUAUGAAAAGCUGCAGAAGUUCGGUAUAAUUGUUGAAUAUUUAGUUCAUCUACGGAAUCUACUGAUACUGACGAACCUUGUUCUUUUAAUGUAAGCUGGCGAUGUUCUCAAUAAAAGCAGGCUUUGUGAAUAUGUGACACUAUGACAUUUGCAAUCACACUAAAUGCAAAACUUCUGUUUCUGCAUCAAAGUUAAAUAGACCUACUGCUGCUGUAGCCAUGCAAUGAAGCUCCUCAACUGUCACUGUACUUCCACAGACGAUUGAAAUCUCAAUGUUAAAGGUCAAGUAAAAUAGGCUGGUUAUUAAGAUCACAGUGGUCUCAGAAUCUGACAUUCGGCCUGGAGAGCACUGUGCUUACCACAUGCCACUCUUUAUCUGCAUCCAGUGACGCCUGUGGGCUGAGGAUGACGAGGGCCAGUCAGUACUAUUGGGCCUUCAUGGCCUGUUCGGGAGGAGUUUGGGUUUUAAGAUCAUAAGAAAUGACAGAGGCUUCCACUGCUACCUUUCAAGUAUUUCCUCAAAAUAUUCUACUUCUUAAUCAUCCAAUCUUUACUAGACCUACAUCAAAGAACCUAAUCAUCUAUUCUAAAUUAAUGCAGACAAAAAAAUGAGUACCACAGCAGCUGCCAAUUUCUACUCCAGUUAAAUUUCAAAUUCAGUAACUAAUAACUUUCAGGAUACAUAUUUCUCAUACAUCAGCUACUCCAAUAAAUCAUCCUCCCAUCUGAGGAAGUUACUCCACUGACAAUACGUUGCGUACCAUCUUCCACGUAAGAAAAAACAAAGAUGUAAGUAAAGCACCACUAAGUGUUUAGCGCACACACAGCAACCGCAGAUCAUCUUGUUGGCUCAAAAUGGUGCACCUUACUUCUUUCAUAACUCAAUUAUGUUUGCUCUGAAGCACAAAUGACAGUGCCAGAAAAUAUCAAAUAAUUCCAUUCCAUAAACACACAGUUGGGAAAAUUCAAAUGUUAAAGUAUUCCUUUAGCGUACACUGACAAUAUGUUGAGGGGUCCAGCAUUUUAGUGCAAAUCGUUGCUAACCUGUGUUAAGCACCACUACAUUGGAGCUACCGAAGUUCAAAGAAACUAAAUAAAAAACACCUAUCACUCAAUCAUUCAUGAAAGAGACCCAACAUUGUAAUAUAUUUAUAGACUCUCCCACUACAAAUGUUUCAGCUAUGCUAUAUGGUCUUGUAUGAUUUUAAUCCUUUAAUAAUGAGGUUUUUUUUAUUCCUUUCUGUUUAUGCACACUUAGCAGUAAUUUAAAUUAUUUUCAUAUCAUAUCACAAGUUUAGAACCAUAUAAAUUAAACUGAUGACAUAACAUUAAUACCUUAUUCAAUUUAAUUCUAAAAUGACUUUGUCAACAACUGCAAGUAUUUCAUCAAGAAACAAAUUGUCUCUUAAUUUUCCAUUUCCAUUAAUUUUACGAUUCCAAGGUCAUACAGAGACAAAAAAGUGGAACACCUGCCUUUUAAUGGUCGAGGGAAAAAUGUCACUAAAAAUUAAGAAAGGCUUUGGAGGCACUGAAAUGUUUGGUCUCUGAACCUUGUAUUCUCUUACUGUGCACAGACUGAUACUAAAGUCAGUCAUGACUUUGCAUUGUUGUCAGCCAAUUAGAAAGGCAAAGGACCUGGUAACAGUUCUGGCUAUAUUAUACCUGCCACAGUUCAUUUGCUGGACUCACAAAGUUUAUCAAAACUGAAAACUGUACUCAGCAUUGGUACUGGCAUCAGAAGUCAAGUCUCGUCACCUUAAUACAACAUCCCACCAUCAGUUACUUCCCAAAGUCAAUAACAGGCCUAAGUUUUUCUGUAAAUUUACAAAAUUAACAUCAAACACGCCACAUUCACUUUUCAUUUCAAACACACACAGUACAUUGUCCCUCUUUCCGAAUUACUAAAUACGCACUCACUAUUUAUUGGCUCCUUCAUAUACAACUUAUUAACACAUAACUUGCUUAACAUUCUCACUGACCCAAAUGGGUAUGUACUAAUUCACGUAUUAUUCAUUAGCAUUUCCACACUGUUUUUGUAGUCUAUGAGAAAUAUCAGGACAAUGACUGCUGAGAUACACCCCUACGCAAACGAGAGCGAGAGAGAGAGAGAGAGAGAGAGAGCGAGAGAGAGAGAGAGAGGGGGGGGGGGAGAGGGAGGGAGGGAAUAAAGCUCCACAGAACCUCCGGUGCACUCCAGCUAUUAGUAAACAUCCUAAAGGCAGGCAGUUGUCACCAAUGCCAAGUAUCCACAACACUGUAUUAAAUAUUAAAAAACAUCAAUUAAAUAGAAUUCAACAACUUGUUAUCUGACCAAUGCAGCAGUUAUUUCAAAUGCUUUCUCUACAGAACUCUGGUGCAUUAAUGCAUCACAAUACAAUCAACAUCUAUAAAACACACAUCUGUUGUCAUCCAAAACUAAGAAAAAUAAACAGACAGUGGAAUUAUAUACUUGUGUUAAGGGCAAAGUGAACCAUCAACAUACCAAUACUGAUCACGUUGUGUUUUGCUUAUGACCAGAACAGCUUCUCGUUCAACUUAUUUAAUCAACAAUCCUUAGAACAAUUUUCUUUCUGAUCUUUGUCGUAAUAAAAAGUAGCUCAUGGUAAACAGAGUUAGACCUAGUGGUUAGCCUUGCAAUGUAAAUUAGCAGCCCAUAAGAAGUGAAACUGAGAUGCAGGAUGUGGUCAACAGAAAGGUUUGCCACAGUGACUAACCCCCCCCCCCCCCUCCCCCCACACCAAUAAAAACCACUGUAGUAAAUCAAACGUGAAAGGAUGUGAAAACUGUUGUAUUAAUACAAGCAUGUUCAUCCACCUGAACUCAUGCAAAAAAUAUGACAAAGAAUCUAUUGAUACAGAAGAAUCUUGUUCUUUUAAUGUAAGCUGGCACUAUUCUCAACAGAAGCAAGCUUUGUGAAUAGCAAACACUACAACACUUGCAAUCACUCUACAGGCAAAAAUUCUGUUUCUGUAUCAAAAUUUUAGGCCUACUGCUAUUUGUAGCCAUGCAAUGAAGCUCCUCGACUGUCACAAUGUACAUCCACGGAUGAUUUAAAUCUCAAUGUUAAAAUGGCCAGAUAUAAGUAUAAAAUUAUGGCAUGUUAACCCGCUCUAAGAUAGCAAGAAAUGUCAGAACCUUCCACAGCACCUACCAAUUAAAUUACCACUCUAGUCAAAUUUCUAACUCAGUAACUGAUAGUUUUUCAGGAUACAUACUUCUCAUACAUCAGCUACUCCACUGACAAUAUGCUGUGUACCAUCCCCCAUCUAAGAAAAAACAAAGAUCUAAAUGGAGCACCAUUAAGUGUUUAGCACACACUUUGCACCAUCACAUCAUCUUGUUGGCUCAAAAUGGUACACCUUAAAACUUACAACUCAAUUAUGUUUGCUCUGGAGCACAAAUGACAGUACCAGAAAAAUAACAACUGAGAAAAUCUUAAUAUGAAAGUAUUCCUUCAGCAUGCAUUGGCAAUAUGUUGGUGGGUCCAACAUUUUCAUUGCUAAACUGUGUUAAGCACCACAUUAUUGGAUCAAACGAAGUUCAAUGUAACUAAAGAAUAGAAACACCAGUCACUCGGUACAUUCAAACUGGGAGACCCAACACUGCAAUGUAGUUAUGGGUGCUCCCACAAGCCAGCUGGUGUGGCUGAGCAGUUCUAGGCGCUUGGUCUUGAACCGCGCAACCGCUAUGGCUGCAGGUUCGAAUCCUGCCUAGAGCUUGGAUAUGUGAGACAUCCUUAGGUUAUUUAGGUUUAAGUAGUUCUAAGUUCUAUGGGACUGAUGACCUCAGAUGUUGAGUCCCAUAGUGCUCAGAGCCAUUUGGUGCUCCCACAACAAAUACUUCAGCUAUGCUAUAUGGUCUAUUAAGAUGUUAGUCCUUGAAUAUUGAGGCUCUUUUUAUUCCUUGCUGUGCAUGUAUAUAUAGCAGCAAUUUAAAUUAUUCUCAUGUCUGAAGUUUAGAGCCAGUAUAAACUGGGACAUCUAAUAUAGCAUUAGCACCUCAUUCACCUUAUUUGUGUAUGAAAUGACUUCCUGUGUAUCAUUUAUUGCAAGCAUUUCAACAAGAAACCAACUGUUUCUAAGGUAAAUGGGAUGAAACUCAGUUCGAACCUUAUAGUCUCUUAUGGUUCAUUUUCACUUCACAUUGGUUCAUCUGUUUACAUCCCAGCCAAUCAGGCCGAUAUGGCAACUUUAACGGAUGUGGUUGUUAUCUGCAAUACCUGCCACAGUUCAUUCACUAGAUUCACAAACCUUUAUCAAAACUGAAAGCUAUACUCACUGCUUCAUUAAGUAUGAACACACUAUUUUACUAGCUCCUACCAUUACUACAUAAUUAUACAUAAUUUACCUAAUUCACCCAUUAACCCAAAUGGAUUUGUUUUAACUCGUGAAUUUUUCAUUAGCACUCCCACAUUGCUUAUGCAGUCUCUGGGAAAUAUCAGACAAUGACUGCUAAAAAGUAAUAUUCAUACACACCUACAUAAACAGUUUUCCAAUACUUAUAUCUGUUACACAUCACAGCUGUAAAAAUUUUGUACAUUAAACAUAACCAAUGCACUCACUGUUUAUUACAAUGAAGACAGAUGUCUUACCAAGGGGAAAAAUAAUUGGCAAGGUCACCAAAUACAAGAACAGAUUGGAUUACGAACUUCUUACCAUUCAUUACGAUGUUUUUACCGUUAAAAUUUUAUGAAUUUACGUUACAAUAACAACAUUUCAAAUAUCAGCCAUAAUCAGGCAUUCUUAAGAAAUGGGUGCAAACUCAGUGAGACAGAAAUGUUUCUUAGCCAAGAAAUUAUACACUACAUUAGAAAUGCAUUGGAGAAAUGAAACUCAGCACAUACAAAUCCAUGCAAAUCCAAACACAGGCUAUAGCCCAAUAUGCACAAGUUUCUACUCUUUUAAAUCCACGCUCUCUGUUCAUCAGAUAAGGCAUUAUAGUUUGCUCCAGUGAGAAAGCUUAUGGUAUAUGCUUGGAAGAUUACAAAGGUUGCCAUUAUGCAGGGAUGCACAGCAAUCUGUAAUUACAAGCCUAAUCUAUGCUCCUUUACCCCAAUGGGCAUCCACUAAUACUAAUGGCAUGCAAUAAGAUAGUAUAAGUUCUCUGUUCACAUCUGUGAAACAUCACAGUCACCAAAAGAUACCAACAUGUCAUCUAGGUGUGUGCAGUAGUGUUGCUGUUUCACACAUUAUAGCAAACCCCACCAGCAUCUUAUACCCUUCCAUCUAAUAAAGGUUUCAAGUCACUCUUACAGUUAGAGAAAUAAUGACGGAGAAGCAAUAUGCUGCCAGCUCAUAGUUCAAGUAGACUUUUCAAUUUUUUAGACCAACAUUCAACCAAUUUUUCUUAAACUACAGGAACUACAUAACACCCAUGUCAAGUCUACCAUAAUUAAUUCUUGUGUGCAAUAUUAAGCCCUCACUCAAGUUUGAAACAAACUACCAUUACUUAUCCUAAAUUCAUCAUCAUAAAAAAGAAUAUGAAUCAUGCCAAAACAGUAGGCUACCUACGACAUUGACAACCAACUUGGGCCACUUUCAUAAACUGGAAUUAAACAUAUUAUACCAUUUCACAUCCUGAGAUGUAAUUGCUAUUAUGCAGCCUUUGUUGGGUGAAUCUUACUUUAUCCAGGUUCAAAAUACUCUUGUGAAAUCAUGGGUACUGUGUUCUUGAGAGACCACAUCAUAAAUCUUGAUUACUUUUUGGAAAACAUAAGACUGACAUUGCAAAUAUCUACACAAUCCCUGAAAUAGGUUUACAGCACGAACCAAUAAGCAAUGAGCAAAACAGGUAUAACUAAUUUACACAAGCCUAAUCCCUAAGAAUAACUUAUUAGAUAACGUAUGCAUACAUUCAAAGUUUGCAAAAGAAAGAAUUUGACUGACUUACAAGCAAAAUCCAGUUCUCAAUUAAGUCAAAGUCUUGUGUCAUACCAAAGAAUAAACCACAAAUAAUGCAUGUGACAGUACUUCCAUUAAUCAGCCACAUCAAGGUACGUGGAUUAAAUACAAGGAAGCAUUGUACAAGUCACAUUCCUCACACAAAAAUUAUAUAUGGAGACAAUUCUCCCUUUUGGAUGCCACACUACUUUCAAAAUGUGUUUCAAGCAACUUAAAAUAGGAGAACAGUAAGUGUGCAUUUCUACCAUUUUUUUUAUAAAUAAAUUUUAAAAAAAUCACUACACAAAACCAGCAGUCAAUUCAGCUCCCAGAGAAUUAAUCUGGCAGUUUUGUUAGUACCAUACCUGCCACUGACUUACAGAAAUAUCAUCUCACUCUUCUUACAGUGGAGUUAACCAUUAUUUAAUAGGCUUAUACCACUAUUCAUAAAAUAUUCUCAGUUUCAGAGGAGGUCAUCACAAUCAAUACUCCUAAUGAUAGACUGGUUUAAAUUGAGAGUCAACAAGAGCUAACAAAUCACUUAUGACUAAGACCAGGAACUAAUAAUAACACAUGUAGAAAUAAAACUCAAUAUCUACCUAUAGGAUUUUAUCUGUAAAUCGAAACAGAUCCACAGAAACAAUUUAUUAUUCUUCUGUAAUACUAAUACACAUCACUCUAGCAACCAACAAAAUGGAAAUGUAAAAAUUCACGCAUCAAACAUGAAACACUAAUAAAAUACCAUGUCACAAAACUCACGCAACAUUUCGGUUAUCGUAACAGGAAAAGUAUUUUUUUUUUACUUGUGUGAAUAUAGUAAAAUGAUAAAUAAUACAUCCAAGGCAGUAGGAUAUGUCCAAUGUAAGAGUUCUAUAUGAACAGAUUCAAAAUAUAAAAUAAGAUAAGAAAUGGGUAAUGAUUAGCACUAAGCAGAAUUUCAACAUGUACCACUUCCUGAACAGCUACUUUUACCGGACAAUGUCACCACUUAUCAAAUUCAAACAAGGCAGAUAAAAUCUGUCACUAGAGAGCAUCACAUUCAGCACAACUUUUAACACAGCAGGAACACGGCACGGAAAUAUGCAAAAAAGAGUUUGUCACCUCACUCCAUAAAGAAAAUAAAUGAUUAUAAACAUGUCUAUCAGAAUAACCACUGCUCUUCACAUGACGAAAUAGACAUAUCCCAAAACUGCGUGAGUAGUUCAGGGAGGCGCUUGUUCAUCUGACCGGCAGAAACAGCUAACAGCAAAUACGGUCUUACGUCGUGACAAAGAUAAGCCACCUGUAACAUGCUACUGAAAGUAAAAAAUGUCGAAAAACUUUUGUCUUUGAAUAUACUGGAAAAAAAGUAAGCAUCUUAAGUGAGCCAGUGGAGGAAAUUAUACGUAUUUAGUGUGAACCGCCUAUACCCUCCUUGAAACCAUUCUUUACUAUUCCAGAAAUAUGUUACAACAGCCAACUUACACAUCUACAAAAAUAGAUAUCUGUGCCUUGGCACUAAAGCCAGCCAAUAGGCUAGAACUUUUGCAGCAGUCACUAUUCUCGGUGAUCUCAGAAAAUAAAUUUGCUAUUCUUUAACCAUGAAUUCAACAACUACCACUGACGUGUUCACACUAAACGGCAACUCAAACCAUAGCUCACUUUGUGCACACUGAAAAUCAAUCAUUCUGACUUUAUGAUUCCCACAGGGCCACCAACUGUUAUUUAAAUAGCUAAAUAAUUUACUUUUACACUUGGCCCACUAUCAAUCAGUAUACUGAAAAACUUAUAAUUUUUGUGGGAAUUCAAAACGAUUAAGCCUUUCAUACAGGAAAUAAAAGAACGUAUCUUUUCUCAAAAUAAUAUUUAAACUUGAAGCAACUAUCCCUCUUACUACAAAUCUUUCAGGCUACAAAAUAGAUAAUUUUUUUUUCUUCAGUUUUCAAGUUUAAAAACUCAAAUGCUCCAGGUAAUACUAGAAAAAAUCGGCAAUUCUGAAACUAAAUUAACUUUUACUUAACACUUUUCAAUCGAUUGCUGUUCUCCUGUUGUGCUGUUUCCUGCUGUUCUGUGAAGAUGGCCUACGACAGCAUCAACCCACCAGAGGACUAACACCGACAUCCACCUCGCCACACAUCACCUGAAUUUGAAUCAAACGUGUUCAUUGUGCACUUUUCCAAAAACAAAUUUGAUAAAUUAUUAAUUAUAGUUAAAAUUUUACUUCUAAAAAAAAAAAAAUACUGUAAGUACUGUAAAUCGUAGCUUGAAGCAGCAUUCCACCUUACUGAAAGCCAGUUUGAAAAGUAGUUGAACUACCACAAAGAUUGAACCAAAGUAAUAUCUCCACAAACUGGCACUAAAGACAGAAGGAACAAAAUGCUAAUAUCAAGAAUUACGACCUAUAGUAAACAGUGACCAGCGAGUAUUUGAGAGAAAUUACACGUAACAACGCGCGAACAAUCGCACGCACAAGACCAAGGUACCAGCUGGAUAUGAAUCCCAAGAAAGGAGUAAAAAAUAUUUUUUAUGCUCCAAUAGACUUUUCUGUAAACGGAAGCAAGUUAACAGGGCGACAUAUUUCCAUGUGUCACCUCGGUCUUGCCGUAACUAUAGUUUAAAAAACCAAGCAAACAUAUUUCUCAGUUAUGACCUUUCAACAAAGUUAAAACUUAUUUCGAAAAACAAAUCUAGUCACACUGUAGAUAUUGGUUGGAAAGUAUGUUUUAGGGCAAAUACUAGUAAAUCUCCAACCGCAUGACAUUUUCUCACAAAUUAAACUGUCA